RNAcentral lists this ribosomal RNA (253 nucleotides) under uncultured bacterium. RNAcentral's name for it is "partial 16S ribosomal RNA". It matches the Rfam family "Bacterial small subunit ribosomal RNA", at positions 524 to 776 of the family's 1533-position model. The record is from RNAcentral.
UACGUAGGGGGCAAGCGUUGUCCGGAAUCAUUGGGCGUAAAGAGCGUGUAGGCGGCUUGGUAAGUCCGCUGUGAAAGUCCAGGGCUCAACCCUGGAAAGCCGGUGGAAACUGUCAAGCUUGAGUCCGGAAGAGGCGAGUGGAAUUCCUGGUGUAGCGGUGAAAUGCGCAGAUAUCAGGAGGGACACCAAUGGCGAAGGCAGCUCGCUGGGACGGUACUGACGCUGAGACGCGAAAGCGUGGGGAGCAAACAGG